UACGAAGGGUGCAAGCGUUAAUCGGAAUUACUGGGCGUAAAGCGCGCGUAGGUGGUUUGUUAAGUUGGAUGUGAAAGCCCCGGGCUCAACCUGGGAACUGCAUCCAAAACUGGCAAGCUAGAGCAUGGCAGAGGGUGGUGGAAUUUCCUGUGUAGCGGUGAAAUGCGUAGAUAUAGGAAGGAACACCAGUGGCGAAGGCGACCACCUGGGCUAAUACUGACACUGAGAUGCCAUACCGUCGCGAGCUUACCGGGUCAGCUGGCCCCGUAGUUC
RNAcentral lists this ribosomal RNA (273 nucleotides) under uncultured bacterium. RNAcentral describes it as "partial 16S ribosomal RNA". It matches the Rfam family "Bacterial small subunit ribosomal RNA", at positions 524 to 796 of the family's 1533-position model. The record is from RNAcentral.